RNAcentral lists this non-coding RNA (29 nucleotides) under Rattus norvegicus (Norway rat). The record is from RNAcentral. Lineage: Eukaryota; Metazoa; Chordata; Mammalia; Rodentia; Muridae.
UAAGAUAUUUCUGGGUAAGAAUAUGGAAC